Aphis gossypii (cotton aphid) is the source of this 519-nucleotide long non-coding RNA. RefSeq lists it as uncharacterized. The record is from RefSeq and is a predicted model, not a curated record. The transcript is spliced from 3 exons. Lineage: Eukaryota; Metazoa; Arthropoda; Insecta; Hemiptera; Aphididae.
GAUACCUUACAGAUACAUCUGAAUAACGAAUUAGUAUAAAUACUAUUAAGAUCUUUAAACACAACAUCAGUGAUCUACAGUUAUUACAUCGAUACACAUCGAGUUUUUCACUAGUUGAGUUACCUUAAAUUCACAUCCAAACACCAUCAUGUACAAGUUAUUGUUAUUGGUUGCCGCCGCCCUGGCUUUGGUCGCUGUUGCUUCUUCUCAAGUCCUACUCUACCCUCAAACAUACGCACCGGUAUAUACUUACCCGUCGUACCACUACACUUAUCCAGUGUCUUACAAUCCAUACAUCACUCUUCUCCGUCGAUGAAUACAUUUUCUACCAACUUUAAAACUAUCUGAAGUUAUUUUGCAGUUAUUCAACACCAAUUUAACGAAAAUGAUGACAACGUAAAAUGUUAUUUGUAAUUUGCUAUUUUUUUCACAAUUUUUUAAUAUUCAUGUAAUUAUGUAAUAGAUUUUAAAUUAUUUUUUGUAAAACCAUUUAAUUGAAUAUACCAUAAUUUAUUGAAA